GUGGAUCAUCGAAUCUUUGCACGCAAAUUGCACUCUCCUCGGAGAGUAUGCCUGUUUGGGGGUCAGCCUAUAAAAAAUCGACAUAGUUGUUGUUUCGUGGUGGGGUUCGUCGGAAAUUGGGUUAUCUUAUAUCCUUGUGGUUUUUAAGCGACUUAAAAUUUUCUUUUUGGUUCCAUGAACGUUUCUAAGAUUUAUUUCUUUACAUGUUUAAGGUAUCGAUUUUUAUUAGAGGUGACCAUCAUAUCGGAUCGCGUCUAUAAUCUUUCAUUAACUGACUUCAGACAGGUAAGAA
This 292-nucleotide unclassified non-coding RNA is filed under the name Glomus sp. RNAcentral's name for it is "partial contains 5.8S ribosomal RNA and internal transcribed spacer 2". Lineage: Eukaryota; Fungi; Glomeromycota; Glomeromycetes; Glomerales; Glomeraceae. The record is from RNAcentral.